AGAUACCAGCUGGCUGCAACUGUUUAUUAAAAACACAGCACUGUGCAAACACGAAAGUGGACGUAUACGGUGUGACGCCUGCCCGGUGCUGGAAGGUUAAUUGAUGGGGUUAUCCGUAAGGAGAAGCUCUUGAUCGAAGCCCCAGUAAACGGCGGCCGUAACUAUAACGGUCCUAAGGUAGCGAAAUUCCUUGUCGGGUAAGUUCCGACCUGCACGAAUGGCGUAAUGAUGGCCAGGCUGUCUCCACCCGAGACUCAGUGAAAUUGAACUCGCUGUGAAGAUGCAGUGUACCCGCGGCAAGACGGAAAGACCCCGUGAACCUUUACUAUAGCUUGACACUGAACAUUGAGCCUUGAUGUGUAGGAUAGGUGGGAGGCUUUGAAGUGUGGACGCCAGUCUGCAUGGAGCCAACCUUGAAAUACCACCCUUUAAUGUUUGAUGUUCUAACGUUGCCCCAUUAUCUGGGGUGCGGACAGUGUCUGGUGGGUAGUUUGACUGGGGCGGUCUCCUCCCAAAGAGUAACGGAGGAGCACGAAGGUUGGCUAAGCAUGGUCGGACAUCAUGCGGUUAGUGCAAAGG
RNAcentral lists this ribosomal RNA (579 nucleotides) under Providencia rettgeri. Its description in RNAcentral is "partial 23S ribosomal RNA". It matches the Rfam family "Bacterial large subunit ribosomal RNA", at positions 1781 to 2357 of the family's 2925-position model. Lineage: Bacteria; Pseudomonadati; Pseudomonadota; Gammaproteobacteria; Enterobacterales; Morganellaceae. The record is from RNAcentral.